This 374-nucleotide ribosomal RNA is filed under the name uncultured bacterium. RNAcentral's name for it is "partial 16S ribosomal RNA". It matches the Rfam family "Bacterial small subunit ribosomal RNA", at positions 338 to 729 of the family's 1533-position model. The record is from RNAcentral.
CCUACGGGUGGCAGCAGUGGGGAAUAUUGGACAAUGGGGGAAACCCUGAUCCAGCGACGCCGCGUGAGUGAAGAAGUAUUUCGGUACGUAAAGCUCUAUCAGCAGGAAAGAAAAUGACGGUACCUGAAUAAGAAGCUACGGCUAACUACGUGCCAGCAGCCGCGGUAAUACGUAGGGGGCAACGGUUAUCCGGAUGUACUGGGUGUAAGGGGAGCGUAGACGGCAGCGCAGGCCGGGAGUGAAAUGCCGGGGUCAAAGCCCGGAAGUGCUCUGGAAACUGUGAAGCUGGAGUGCAGGAGAGGUAGGCGGAAUGCCUGGUGUAGCGGUGAAAUGCGUAGAUAUCAGGCGGAACACCGGCGGCGAAGGCGGCUUAC